AAGUCGUAACAAGGUCUCCGUAGGUGAACCUGCGGAGGGAUCAUUAUUGAAUUUCUUUGGCUUGUCCAAAGUCCCUUCAAACACCUGUGAACCGGGCUUCGGCCAUAUCUUUUAACAACGUAUCAAGAAAGUCUGUUGGGAAGCCUCUUUGGGUGACCUACAAAAGUAAAUAAAUACAACUUUUAGCAACGGAUCUCUUGGCUCUC
This 206-nucleotide unclassified non-coding RNA is filed under the name fungal sp. Its description in RNAcentral is "partial internal transcribed spacer region". The stretch from base 1 to 46 matches the Rfam family "Eukaryotic small subunit ribosomal RNA", at positions 1786 to 1831 of the family's 1831-position model. The record is from RNAcentral. Lineage: Eukaryota; Fungi.